AGUCUAGUAUUUGGUGAACUACUCACCUUCAGAGUUCACACUUUUCCGUACCAGCCUUGCACUGCCCUCCCAUUGCCUUCAUUUUAUCAGGUACACUGGACUCUGCUUUUCUAUCAUUCUUUUUUCUGUUUUUCUCCUUUCCCAACCACCUUCACUCAUCCUCAAACGUGGAGCCACCCUCCUCUGAUUGAUGGGGUCGGACUGAUUCAACACUUGCCUUGCACGAGUUUCUCCUUCACCUAUUAUGAGGCAAAAUAGUGGAAAAGGUCACUAGAAGAGGUUGAUAAAAGAGAACAGAAGAAAGCCAG
Molecule: long non-coding RNA, 308 nt
Filed under: Struthio camelus australis
Lineage: Eukaryota; Metazoa; Chordata; Aves; Struthioniformes; Struthionidae
Description: lncRNA (ENSSCUG00000008974.1)
Source: RNAcentral